CUCUCUCGUUCUCUCUCUUCCCCACCCUCUCUCGUUCUCUCUCUUGCCCACCAACUCUCGUUCUCUCUCUUCCCCACCAACUCUCGUUCUCUCUCUUGCCCACCAACUCUCGUUCUCUCUCUUCCCCACCAACUCUCGUUCUCUCUCUUUCCCACUCUCUCUCAUUCUCUCUCUUCCCCACUCUCUUUCAUUCUCUCUCUUUCCCACUCUCUCUCGUUCUCUCUCUUCCCCACCAACUCUCAUUCUCUCUCUCCCCACCAACUCUCGUUCUCUCUCUUCCCCACUCUCUCUCAUUCUCUCUCUUUCCCACUCUCUCUCAUUCUUUCUCUUCCCCACCCUCUCUCGUUCUCUCUCUUCCCAACCAACUCUCGUUCUCUCUCUUCCCUACCCUCUCUCAUUCGCUCUCUUCCCCACUCUCUCUCAUUCUCUCUCUUUCCCACUCUCUCUCAUUCUCUCUCUUCCCCACCCCCUCUCAUUCUCUAUUUCACUCUACAGUGAUCUGAUCAUCUUGGCAUCAGACUGUACGUCAUGGUGUAUCAAAGCUGGAGAUGGGUGUGGUUCCUGUGUCCUUAUUUCAGAUGGGUGUGGUUCCUGUGUCCUUAUUUCAGAUGGGUAUGUUUCCUGUGUCCUUAUUUCAGAUGGGUGUGGUUCCUGUGUCCUUAUUUCAGAUGAGUGUG
RNAcentral lists this long non-coding RNA (677 nucleotides) under Salmo salar (Atlantic salmon). RNAcentral's name for it is "lncRNA (ENSSSAG00000106700.1)". The record is from RNAcentral. Lineage: Eukaryota; Metazoa; Chordata; Actinopteri; Salmoniformes; Salmonidae.